UACCACCCGAGUAGGAGGGGUGCGGGUUUGGGGGAGGGGUGAGGGGGCGUCAGGGGAGGGUUAGGGAGUGAGGGUGCGGGGGCUGGGAGCCGCGUCUGCCGCGGCAGCCACGGCUCCUUCUUCGCGUUCCACUCGGAGGGCUUCUUGCUCCUCCAGCGCCGGUCCUAGAAGCUCUUCGUGGCGAGGUACCGUCGCGUCGUCGGCCGGCCGGAGGGCCUGGUGGUCGUGGUCCGAGCGCGCGAGACGUGGCGGAUGUGGCCGCAGACGCGGCGGUUCCCUCAACCUCCAACCCAACAACUGCAGUACCUUCAGAGGAAAGUCCCAGGUCGGAACUAAACAGGGGAGGCUCUUCAUUAUGUGGUCCUCUUUGCCUUCUUGUGUGAUUUGUUUGGAAUACACGGUACCAACUUUAGUCGACGAAUACGUUAUUACUAGUGUGAGAUGUCCCUUUACCUUUCUCCCUUCCUUAAAUACUACUCCGUUCUCGAAUAACUGCGACGACUCCGGUCACCAGACAGUGUUGUACGUUAUCUGGGUUUGUUGUCAUCCUUAAGAACCUUACUACCAAUGUCAAUGUGACCUACCUUAUCGUACUUCUGCAAUUGUUUAUUCCUAAACCAACUCUUUUUCUCAUUAGGACGUUUCAUAAUGGAUUGUCUUUUUCCGUUUCUCUGUCGAGCGCUAACAGAGCGGAGCCGGAGCUAGUAGAGCCCCCUUCGCUGCGGGAGCGGGUGCUGUCUCUGUUAGCGGUCCUCGCUCCCCCUCCCGCCUCCCCGCAGACCGUGGAGCUGCACCUUCUUCGGGUACGGGAGUUACGGCACCGGCAUGUAGUAUUCGAGGAGCCAGUGGCCAGCCAGGCCCUUUUCUUGGCGCCCACCGCCAAGACGACUUUUCAGAAAUGAUCGAUACGGUGGAGUAGUUAGAUUACUUUCAAAAGACUUUCGAAUACUUCACCACGACUAUAACCUACUAGCUCUAUGAAAGCCCGGGGUAAAGUCUUCUUUUCAACAACUAUUAUAUGCGAGCGUCAAAUUAUAAGGACAUCUCUAAUUUGUGAACGGACAACCUCUACGAGAAACCUAACGAGCGGUAUUUCUUGAACUGUACCUCAUACAAGAACUAAAGUAACAACUUUCUUUUUUACACCUACUAAAUGAACCGAGUUAAUUUCUGUUGUCUAUGUUUCUAGUUUUUGAUUCUGACUUCUUUACACCCAAUUCCUUCGAUUAUAUAGAUCAACUUCCCCUACAUUUGUGACAUCUACCUAGUCUCUCGCAAUUUUGUCGGACGAAGUGAUGACUCGAAGGACUUCCUAAACUACAGGUCUCUUGGUGACCCAUACGACUGUGACUUUUAUUUAUGCUGGUGGAGUGCCCGAGAUAUUAAUUAAUAAUGUCGUGUUUGAAGAGAAAACACUUCUCCACAAGACUGGAACUCUUCCAGUGAGACUCGCUAUAUAAGCGGGAAGUCGAAUACGUCCACGGUGUUCACUGUCUUCUUCGACGAGAACGACAGUGCUCAGAGAUGGGGUGAGAAGAGAGCGAACGAUUCCGCAUGUGGUACGAACUACCGCAAUCCGCACGGGUCCUCCUCUACGACUUCUUGUUCUCGCCGUACCAGUUGCGCCCCCGAUCGUUCUUGUAAAAGUUUGAGUAGACCCGUCUUCCUACU
RNAcentral lists this ribosomal RNA (1671 nucleotides) under Triticum aestivum (bread wheat). Its description in RNAcentral is "partial small subunit ribosomal RNA". The record is from RNAcentral. Lineage: Eukaryota; Viridiplantae; Streptophyta; Magnoliopsida; Poales; Poaceae.